CCUACGGGUGGCAGCAGUGAGGAAUAUUGGUCAAUGGACGCGAGUCUGAACCAGCCAAGUAGCGUGAAGGAUGACUGCCCUCUGGGUUGUACACUUCUUUUAUAUGGGAAUAAAAUGUUCCACGUGUGGGAUUUUGUAUGUCCCAUAUGAAUAAGGAUCGGCUAACUCCGUGCCAGCCGCCGCGGUAAUACGGAGGAUCCGAGCGUUAUCCGGAUUUAUUGGGUUUAAAGGGUGCGUAGGUGGAUUGUUAAGUCAGUUGUGAAAGUUUGGGGCUCAACCGUAAAAUUGCAGUUGACACUGGCAGUCGUGAGUACAGGAGAGGUAGGCGGAAUUCGUGGUGUAGCGGUGAAAUGCUUAGAUAUCACGAAGAACUCCGAUUGCGAAGGCAGUUCACUGGACUGCAACUGACACUGAGGCUCGAAAGUGUGGGUAUCAAACAGGAUUAGAUACCCUAGUAGUC
RNAcentral lists this ribosomal RNA (460 nucleotides) under uncultured bacterium. RNAcentral's name for it is "partial 16S ribosomal RNA". It matches the Rfam family "Bacterial small subunit ribosomal RNA", at positions 338 to 795 of the family's 1533-position model. The record is from RNAcentral.